This 220-nucleotide ribosomal RNA is filed under the name uncultured bacterium. RNAcentral describes it as "partial 16S ribosomal RNA". It matches the Rfam family "Bacterial small subunit ribosomal RNA", at positions 111 to 334 of the family's 1533-position model. The record is from RNAcentral.
UAAUGUAUGGGGAUCUGCCCGAUAGAGGGGGGUAACUACUGGAAACGGUGGCUAAUACCGCAUAAUGUCUACGGACCAAAGCAGGGGCUCUUCGGACCUUGCACUAUCGGAUGAACCCAUAUGGGAUUAGCUAGUAGGUGGGGUAAAGGCUCACCUAGGCGACGAUCUCUAGCUGGUCUGAGAGGAUGAUCAGCCACACUGGGACUGAGACACGGCCCAG